UCUUCCGCAAUGGACGAAAGUCUGACGGAGCAACGCCGCGUGAGCGAUGAAGGCUUUCGGGUCGCAAAACUCUGUUGUUAGGGAAGAACAAGUGCUAGUUGAAUAAGCUGGCACCUUGACGGUACCUAACCAGACAGCCACGGCUAACUACGUGCCAGCAGCCGCGGUAAUACGUAGGUGGCAAGCGUUAUCCGGAAUUAUUGGGCGUAAAGCGCGCGCAGGUGGUUUCUUAAGUCUGAUGUGAAAGGCCAAGGGUCAACCGGGGAGGGUCAUUGGAAACUGGGAGACUUGAGUGCAGAAGAGGAAAGUGGAAUUCCAUGUGUAGCGGUGAAAUGCGUAGAGAUAUGGAGGAACACCAGUGGCGAAGGCGACUUUCUGGUCUGUAACUGACACUGAGGCGCGAAAGCGUGGGGAGCAAACAGGA
Molecule: ribosomal RNA, 424 nt
Filed under: uncultured bacterium
Lineage: Bacteria
Description: bacterial SSU rRNA
Rfam family: Bacterial small subunit ribosomal RNA
Source: RNAcentral